AUGAAAACCUGCUUAUCCCAUAUAAUUAGUGACCACUCCCUUGACUUUCUCUGUUUGCAAGAAACUUUAAAAAAGAAUUUUAUGGAUAGUUAUUUUAGGAAGCUUGACCCACAUAAUUUGUUUGAGUGGGAAUGGAUCCCCUCAAUUGGUAAGGCCGGGGGAAUUCUAUGUGGGGUUAGAAAGGAGAAAUUUGAAGUAGUUGCUUGGAGAAAAGGCAGGUUCAUUCUUUAGGUAUCUCUCUAUGAUAUCAAAAUGAAGAAAAUUUGGACACUCUGUAAUGUUUAUGGACCAGCCCAUGAGUGUGAUAAAAGUGAAUUCCUUAGUGAAUUGGCUGAUUUUUGCUGCCAUAUUCAAACACCAUUAUUGAUCGGGGGUGAUAUCAAUAUCCUCAGACAUAGUGGGGAGAAGAAUAAGAGAUGGCAUCACUCAGCACACUCUGACCUGUUUAAUUUGAUCAUUAAUACUAUGUGUCUGAAUGAGAUUCAUAUGAGUGGGGGGGCUUAUACUUGGUCUAAUAACCAAGCUCAUCCUACCUUGGAGAAAUUGGACCGUGUGCUUAUGAGCAAUGAUUGGGAGGAUAUGUUUCCUCUUGUUAAUAUGAAAAAGCUCGUUAGGGAAGUCUCUGACCACAAUGCUCUCCUAUUGUACUAUGAUAAUCACGUUAUUAGAGAUCCACAAAAAAAAGAGUUUAGAUUUGAGCUGAGCUGGUUAAAUCUGAGGAUUUUAUUCCUCUAG
This 735-nucleotide ribosomal RNA is filed under the name Triticum aestivum (bread wheat). Its description in RNAcentral is "partial small subunit ribosomal RNA". Lineage: Eukaryota; Viridiplantae; Streptophyta; Magnoliopsida; Poales; Poaceae. The record is from RNAcentral.